RNAcentral lists this ribosomal RNA (116 nucleotides) under Microcebus murinus (gray mouse lemur). The record is from RNAcentral. Lineage: Eukaryota; Metazoa; Chordata; Mammalia; Primates; Cheirogaleidae.
GUCUACAGCCAUACCUCCCUGAAUAUGCCUGAUCUUGUCUGUUGGCACUAAGUAGGGUUGGGCACAGUUAGUACUUGGAUGGGAGAUUGGCUUGGAAAUCCUGAGUGCUGCAGGCU